UUUAAGGCUGCUCCGGUUUAUGACACAGUGACAAAUCAUGUGGUGUAAAUUCAGUCAAAGUCAGUAAUUUGAUCAACAUGUCAGGCGGGAGGAGGUACGGGUCGGUUCCUAAGCUAACUGUUUCAGACUUCUGUAAAUACUGAAACCCGCUCAGUUCAAUACUCCAGAUUCUCACUUCCAAUUUACAUCAUGGCGCUUCGAAUGAUUAAGUGACGCAUGUGCAAAGGGUCAGUACUUGGUCAGUACUUUGUCAGUACUUUGUCAUAAAUGCUGUUUUGACCUAAAUAAUGUAAUAUAUAAUCUGGAAGUCAUCUGGCUAAUGACUCGAAGAUUCGUGCUGACGUCUAAGUGCCAAAUAAACGCAAAUCAGUCUGAUUAAAAUAGCAAAUGUGUGCUAUAGAUCUGACCCUCAGUGAAAUAUUUAGCUCCCCCUUAGCACCUGCAGGAAAAACAAUUCAAACAAAUACAAAUUCCCAGUUUAUUCACAGAAUCAUCUUCAUUUCCUGGGUAAGACACAGCUUUAAGAUGGAGUAAUGACUUUAAAAUUGUGUCAAUACAUGAAUUUGAAGCAUACAUCCUUCAUUCAUUUUGAAUCUGAUUAUUCUCUGAAAGUCAAGCCAUGAAAACAUCAUCCUUAUCCAAGCUCUGGACCUGAUUGCAUGCUGUCAGUGACGCACAUGUAGCAGUGGAAACACACACACUCCAACCUUGUCCUCCAUGACGGUGACCUUCUCAAACAGCGGAACAAAUCUUCAUGCAUCAUUGCUGUUGGCAACAAGGCCUGAUUCCACAGAGCGAUGUAGACGGUGCACAAUCAGCUGCACGUUGUUUAAUGACGCAGAGCAACAGGACAACAGACAAUGGCCAGACUUGAUCAACCGCCACACAUCAACCGCCACAAACGUUGACUGACAAUGGUUCCUGUCAAACCAGUUGGUCCCACCAUGCCUGCACCUCCAUCCCUGAAAGGGAUGGGUAACCUUUUCAAAAUAUUUUAUCAUAACUGCACAGAUGGGAAAAAGGAAGUGCACAUUUGCUUCAAGGACUCAACAACUGAUGUCAGCAAGGUGGAAUAAACCAAGAUGAAGCAAUCUAUCAGAAACAAUGUCAGCGGGUUUUAUUAGGGCGUCCUGAUUUGAUGUGUAAUUUUAAAGAGACAAGCUGAUGCACACUGGAGGAGGACUUGCGUCACACAUUGCACAAGGCUUCAUUGCUAUGGUUUCACUUCCUGCACAUGUGGCAGAUCUGCUACAGGCAGCCUGUAUGCUGAACGAAAGCAUUAAUCCCCUUAGAUUCCUCCCACACAGCAUGUCUGAUCUUUUCUUUGAAGCUCCUUAAAAUGCAUCAAACUAACCUAAUAGAGCUUUACCUCAGAUCAAAGGGCGUUAAACCUCACAUCAUAAAUUAGCAUUUAAUUUUAUCUCCAUAUCUCUGGCUCUAACCUCAUACUAUUGUUGAAAAUAGAGUCAAGAUCAGUGUUUCCUUUAAAAUGUAACACAUAGGCAGAGCUGAAAUCAUUUUGAAAGCCAUCUGCUCAGUGUGGUCUCUGUGAUUAGAGGCUCAUUCUGCAGCAGCCUGAUCACAGAGCACAGACAGGCAGGCAGGCACUCACAUUUAAAAGCCAAGUAUGGUAAUUCCUGCUUGGAAUUUCAGCUUUCAUGCAAUUUCAUCAGGACCAUCUGAGACAACAAGUUGUUGUCACAGCCUGCACAAAAUCUGUUGCAAUAUCCCAGACUCCAACAAUGAGUCAUAGGUCAAUGCUGCCAGGGUAAACCUCAGUACACAGAGUCCAACUUUUUAACAUAACACAUUGUUCUAAGCAGGAAUCUGCAAUCACACCAUUAGAGUAGAAUAUAAUUAGUUUUACCUUGGCAACACAAAGUGGAUGUUUCUAUUAAAUUUAGUCCACCAACAAGCUAACCGAGGAAUGAUAAUUUAAGUGUUUUCCAGAUUUUAAACCAGAAAUUCCAACGAAGAAGAAAAAAUUCCCACCAGUCUGAAAUGCAUCAUUAUAAGUCAGAAGCUCUAGAACUGAAAAUCGAUUGUGGCUCCUUGAGAGCUAAACGUUAGUUUAUUUACACUUUUGUCUAGUUGUAUUCUACUCAAUCAGCCAG
This is a long non-coding RNA of Poeciliopsis prolifica (blackstripe livebearer), 2114 nucleotides long. RefSeq lists it as uncharacterized. The transcript is spliced from 3 exons. NCBI's taxonomy places the organism in Eukaryota, Metazoa, Chordata, Actinopteri, Cyprinodontiformes, Poeciliidae. The record is from RefSeq and is a predicted model, not a curated record.